This 712-nucleotide ribosomal RNA is filed under the name uncultured bacterium. RNAcentral describes it as "bacterial SSU rRNA". It matches the Rfam family "Bacterial small subunit ribosomal RNA", at positions 1 to 718 of the family's 1533-position model. The record is from RNAcentral.
UAGAGUUUGAUCCUGGCUCAGGAUGAACGCUAGCGGCAGGCCUAAUACAUGCAAGUCGAGGGGCAGUCAAUCUUUCGGGAUUGAGCGACCGGCGCACGGGUGCGUAACGCGUAUGCAACCUACCUUGUACUGGGGGAUAGCCCGUGGAAACAUGGAUUAAUACCCCAUAAUAUUAUUUGAUUGCAUAGUUAAAUGAUUAAAGUUCCGACGGUACAAGAUGGGCAUGCGUAUGAUUAGCUAGAUGGUGAGGUAACGGCUCACCAUGGCGACGAUCAUUAGCGGGUCUGAGAGGAUGAUCCGCCACACUGGUACUGAGAUACGGACCAGACUCCUACGGGAGGCAGCAGUAGGGAAUAUUGGUCAAUGGACGAGAGUCUGAACCAGCCAUGCCGCGUGAAGGAAGACGGCCUUCUGGGUUGUAAACUUCUUUUAUCAACGAACAAAAAGCCCCUGCGGGGGAAAUUGAGUGUAGCUGACGAAUAAGCACCGGCUAACUCCGUGCCAGCAGCCGCGGUAAUACGGAGGGUGCAAGCGUUGUCCGGAUUUAUUGGGUUUAAAGGGUGCGUAGGCGGGAUAUUAAGUCAGUGGUGAAAGCCCACAGCUCAACUGUGGAACUGCCAUUGAUACUGAUAUUCUUGAGUAUAGUUGAGGUAAGCGGAAUUUAUGGUGUAGCGGUGAAAUGCAUAGAUACCAUAAAGAACACCGAUAGCGA